Molecule: ribosomal RNA, 233 nt
Filed under: uncultured bacterium
Lineage: Bacteria
Description: partial 16S ribosomal RNA
Rfam family: Bacterial small subunit ribosomal RNA
Source: RNAcentral
CCCACCCUACGGGACGCAGCAGUAGGGAAUCUUCCACAAUGGACGAAAGUCUGAUGGAGCAACGCCGCGUGAGUGAAGAAGGGUUUCGGCUCGUAAAGCUCUGUUGGUAGUGAAGAAAGAUAGAGGUAGUAACUGGCCUUUAUUUUACGGUAAUUACUUAGAAAGUCACGGCUAACUACGUGCCAGCAGCCGCGGUAAUACGUAGGUGGCAAGCGUUUUCCGGAUUUAUUGGG